This 891-nucleotide long non-coding RNA is filed under the name Mus pahari (shrew mouse). RNAcentral describes it as "lncRNA (MGP_PahariEiJ_G0003357.1)". Lineage: Eukaryota; Metazoa; Chordata; Mammalia; Rodentia; Muridae. The record is from RNAcentral.
GGUUUGCGUAGUCUGUCGUCACCGCCCAAGUUAGUGGGAGUGUUGGCUGUGGUUUCCAUCCUUAGGAAGUUUCCGCGCCACGGAAGUGGAAGUCACAUGCAUUCCAAGCUGUGCGCGGCGGCCUUGAAGCUGGAGAGUAUUUUAAACACUACGGAGCUUUUUCCCUAACGGAUCAGGCACAUACAUUUGGAAGAAUAAUAAAUCAAAGAAGAAAUUUUAUAAUGAAAAAUUUACAAGAAAGAAAUUUACAAAAUGUCUUGAGUCCUGGAAGAAAAGAUUCCAGAGGAAAAACUAAAUAUAAUGAGCAGAAAAAAAAAAAAGAAAAGAAAAGAAAAGAAAAGAAAAGCCAGCAAACAAUCAUAACAAAUCCCCAGGAACUGAGGAAGCGCAAAUUAAUGUUUUGAAUGAUGACAGAGGAAGAUUUUUUUACUUUUCUUUCCGCUAUUGAAGGCGAGGCAUUAAAAUUGAAGUGCUACUAGCAUGAUUUCUAGAAUGUCUGAUUAAUGGAUUCCUGCUCCUUAGAACACUGAUUUUAGGGAUGCAUUUGGUUUGAACUCAAGUAGGUUUGAUGAUGCUAAGUGAGAACCUUGUUUAGGCCAAGUUCUAAGGCAUUAUCUCAUUGAGUACAUACUCACUGAGUUUCAUAACUGAUUUAUAUUGAUUGAUUUCCAGGUCUUGGUUUAUUUCUGAUGUGUGUGGGUAUUUUGUCUCUAUGUACAUCUGUGCACUAUGUGUGUAGCUGGUGCUCUCGGAGACUAGAUGAGGAGGUUGAAUCAGAUGAGGACUGUAGUCUCAGACAGUUACAGGCUACCAUGUGAGGCUGAGAAUUUAGCUCAGGUCCUCUGGAAGAACAGCCAGCUCUCCUAGUCACUGAGCCAUCUCUCCAGUCCU